GCUCGUGCCCGCUGCACAUAUAUAUAAAUAUAAAGAAAACUUAUAUAGAGCUAUCUAUCUAGCAUAUCUAUAUAUCUAUAUAUCUAUAUGAUGUCAUAGUUUGCUUUAUUUUUGUACCUGUGCUUAGAGACACUUUGAGCAGUAUCGCCUCCCCCAGGUGGUCCGGGGUGCUAGCUCAUGCCUUGAUCCCACUGAUAUUUCUCCAUCCUCCUCAAGACAGACUGUGUUGGAAGCUGCUUGAGUCUUUCUGGUAGAUAUGUGUAUAUAUGAACAAAAACAAAAACAAAAAAACCACAAAAAAACAACAAAAAACAAAAAAACAAAACUAAAGUCAUUUAUAGAAAGGACAGGCAAGCCGAAGGCGCCAAGCUGCUGGAUCUGCAUGUCUCCUGUCAGGGGGGUUCCCUAACUCCUGCUGUCUGGUAGAUGUGCUCAGUGUAGAAAGGACGAUGGAGAGCUUAGCAUGAAUCCAUACCCCUCUGGCUAAGGGUUGGUACUCAGUUCUUUGGAAACGAUUUAGCUCGGCAUCUUGGACAGAGGGAGCUCAGAUUCUCUAGGUCGUCUGGUAACACCUGUCCUGCUUUGUAGCACCUGGGCUCAAGCAGCCCCCGUGUGAGGUGGUAGGAAGGUUUUUGAAGCUGACUGCGUGGGUUCAGUCUUGGAGAAGAUACACCCUGGUAAUUACUGCUGCAGAGUCUUGGAACCAGCAUGAAUGUGAUAUCUAGUAUAAAUAUAGCAUCUGUGCUUUUUCAUUUAUUUUUAAUUGGAAAAUAAACUGUUGUCGGAAAUGGGGCAGUCUAGUCCCAGAACACUGAGCGGAAGAUCAGGAAAGGGGCACUGACACCGGUUAGGAUGUGAGGGAUAGGUCCUACUGCUGGCUGCUUGGCCCGGGACUCUGAAGUUAACAAAUGUAUUGGAAGAAGGUGGUUUGGAUGGAGAUUCCGGGAGUUCACUUGCGUUUGGGAAGGAAACUGUGUGCUCUGAAGAAUACCUCUUUAAGAAUUCAAGACCUCACAUAUGCUGCGAGGGCCCCAUGCCCUGCAGCCUUAGCUGGCGUCUCCUGGUGCUAGCUCUUUCUUCUCAUGUGCCAAGUGAUCAGAGUGGUGUCCUUGAAGCUGAUGCAAAGCCAGGGGAGACUCAAGGCUGAAGUCUCUCCAGUCUUCCUGCUUCUCACUUAAGAAAAGGCAAAAGUGCCCCCCCCCACACCAAUCUGUCCAAACAAAACAUGAUGCUAGCCAAGAGCUCUUAUUUCAGAUGCCUCAACUGUGGGAAGGGCUUUUAUGUUUUUGUUUUUGUUUUUGUUUUUUUCUGGUGGGGGAGGGGAGUGAAAGGCAGAGUAGGCUGGAGAGGAGCUUGAGUCUAACUCCUGACCCUUAAGGAGACCUUAUGAUUCCUUUGAUGAUCUUUUCAAAAUAUUAAAAAAAUGUCCAAGGGUAUUGUGAGAAAAUGGGUUCUCCUGUGGUCCAUGUCGGACUGGAUGGGCUCCAGCACCUGCUCUAACUUAGGAGGCCGAGGGAGGAUAGCAGGUGUUUCUUGUAGAUUUCCUGAGAGAUUGGGCAAGAGGAAGAACAGCAAAUUCUUUGUCCCUUUCUAGCUUGAGUCCCCUCCUCACUUACCAAAGAGGGGAUUGGGAUUCCAUUGUUUGUUUUUUGUUGUUGUUGUUUUUGUUUUUUGCCUCACUUUUGGUCAUAAGCUAUCAGCAGAGCAGAUCAUGUUAGCAUCUCAGGGCUCAUAGCUCAUACUCCAUGAAGCCCAGGUUUGCUCUGACUCUACUCUUUCCCCGUUGAGCUAAAGGCUUGGUCCUUAGAAACCUCAGCAGCAUCAAGGAACAUGAGAUUGCCCUCCUAUUUCAUGAUGUCCAAUUGGAUUCCUCUCUGGAAACGGGAAGAUGGACAUGUCCUUCACCUUGAAGUUUUAGGGCUUGAGGAAUGUGCCACUAUUACUCUGUCUAUGACCUCAGUCAGACGGUGCAAAGUGUGCACUGGAGGAGAAGGGAGUCGGGGCUCAGUAUCCAUCACCUAGUCUAUAGAAGAGCCAGCUUUCCAUGAUGGAACGCAGAGCUAAGGAGGCCAGGAUCUGACUAUGUAUGGAAAGAGCAAGCUAGCUGAACGUUGAGUCUCUUAGUUAAUGGGACUGGUGUUAAUGGGAAGGCUGCUCUGAGAAAGCUACUGCCAGGAUCCUGAACUGUUUCCAAUACUUGUGAUUCACCUUGGUCCCUAGGUCAUGGGAGAUUUGUUGACUUGUGAUGCUCUUUCUUCUUGGUAGGAGAUAGGGGAAAUCUAAGGAGACUUAGUUUGGCUACCUCUGUCUGUUAUAUGGAAUGAACGUGGAAACAGAUGUGGAAAUUGUUCUCCUAAGGGUUGAUGCAGCUCUGUCCUUUCCCCAUUGUCCUUAACCAGGAGACUUGGGGAAAGGGACACCUCUACCACUCAUCAGUUGCUUGGGCCUCACCUUAUGCUGUAGGUACUAACUAUGUGGAGCCAUUUGGACAAUACAAAAGCAUGGGGGGAGGGGCAGGACACAGCUGUGGAUCAUGAUGUUAGAGUAGGGGGGUUUGUUCUGUAGUCAAGAAAGUGACUGAAAGGAGUUGCUGUAUGGAAUGACCUUGAUGCCAGAACUCAAGACUGAGCUCUCACAAAAGGAGCAGCUGACCAUUGAGCGCUGUAUGCACUGUCAGACAGUCUUACAGCUCCAUUCAGAUUUAAUUUUCUAACUGCCAUUUGUGGGGUCGGAGACUGAGGGCAGGAAUGGGACAUGCUUUCCCAAGUUACCUGUCCUUAUACAAUCCUUGACUGAGCAGAGGGUGCCCUGCUUUGGUCAGCAACUCUGGGGCCCCCUUCAUCGCCGCCUCUUCUCUCUUUCAUGAGGAGGAACUGUAUCAUCUUGGACACAGUUCUUCCCUCGUGCAGUUAAAGGCAGUUUUUGUUGUAUGAAUUCUUUCCCUCCUGUGUCCCAUUAGUGUGUAGACACACGGCAGUGGGGAGGUGAAGGAUCCUGGUGCUCCCUGUCAGGCUCCCUCACAGACUGCACACCUCUUGCCCCUGACAGCCUCCUGGCUGUUAGUCUUAACAUAUCUGGACGUGACUAUCAAUAUCGUCAUGAGAUUUCUUGCUCUCAUUUCAGACCUUUAUUCUUCCUUUGGCUUUCGUUGGGGGCUCUUCCUCCCCCAUGCCUAGUCUUCUCAUGAAGAUGGUUCAAACCUCAUUUCUAUUUCUUGAAUGUUGAGUAUUACAUCACAGCGCUAGGGUGCUUCAUGGUGCUGCUCCUGAAGAGGCCAGCUGGACGGGAUCAGUCCGCUUCGUCCCACUGGUUCCUUAGAGCUUGCUGUAUCUUGUCCCUAUUAGAUGUUUUUCCUUGUGGGUUGGGGUGGGAGAGUUAGGGGUAGUUUUUGUGUUCUCUCUCUCUCUCUCUCUCUCUCUCUCCCCUUUCUCUCUCCCUUCCUCUUUCUCUCUAUAUGUAUGUAUGUAUGGAUUGGUUAAAGUCAGUUAUCAUGGGCAGCUGACUUUGACUCCAAAUUAAAGUUAAACUACACAUUGUACAGCUGCACACAGAACACCUUUGAGUGUGAAUUUGGAUGGCAACUAGAGGCAUACUUUUUGAACUUCAGGUAUGUAACUGAAAAGUAAAUAAAAACACUAUUUUUUCAGUAACCUUUUUUUUUCCUUCUAAAAGAUAACUUAAAAAUCAAACUAUACGAACAUUAAAUUGGUGCUGUACCAAAGCCUUAUGACAUAUUCCACACUCCGUAUAUCCUGUCUCCCGGGAGCUCUCUGCUUAUUACUCUUUUCAAAAGCCUGGGAAUGCCAGUGAGCGUCAAGCCUGGGUCUGGGUGCUGGGGACCCGUGGGCCAAGGGGACUCGUGGGAGCAGAAGAUGAUGGUGGAGGUGGGGGUACCCAUCUUCUGCCUGAGCAGAUACUGAAGGGAAAGCAGGUGUUGGUGUGUGUGGCAUGCAUGUGUGUGUGCGCGCGCGCAUGCGUGCGCACGUGUGCAUGAGCUCACCUGUGCAUAGUGCCGAGGAGCAUGCUAUGCUACCUGGGCACUGAAAGGGAGACCCAGGUUGGCCUGGGUGUGGGUUGGCUGUGGGAGUGAGGGGCACGCCCCUUCCCUUUUCCAUUUCCCCUUUCUUGUAGGUUAGUAAUGGAGGUGUAUCAGAAACAGCUACACUCUCAAACAGGUGCUUUUCCCCCUUCAGAAAUCUCCAAACUAAGUAUCUCUCUGUGAAGGGCCUGUCCAUGGGGCAGGCACCUCAGCUACCAAAUCCUAACCGCCUACGGCUGAGAGGAACCCUUUUCCUCUCUAGCCCUUGCCUAGUUUUUUGGGGACAAAGGUUCCUCCAGGGAUCUCUGCGUCCCCUGUUCCUUGGCCUGGGUGGGCUUCUUAGCCCAUUGAGAAGGCCUCACUGUGGCUGACCCAUAGCUGUACCUGCUCCGUGGUCCUAAUCAAUAAUGCCUGCCCUGGCGGCUGAGGACCAUGAUUCCUUUGGCCUCAGACUUGUCAGUGUGAAGUUGAGCACCAGCCCAGAUUUAUUCGGGAGGAAAUCUACAGUCGGCCUCCACCUAGACUGUGACUCUAGGCUCCACCUGCUGGUGCUCUUGGGCUUGCUGAAACUAACCAACUCAUCCCCAGUAACACUGCAUGUCCAUAUCCGCAAACAACAACAACAGUACAUAAGCAAGCGCAGGGAAAGAGAGAGAAAGAAGACACAUCCAACAUCUAGAUGUGUAGUCAGUGAGGGAACCCCUGGGAACAUUGCAAGCUAAGCUGAUUUCAAAACGUUUAGUAUUUAAAUUACUUCUCAUGUAACAUUACUCUGCUUCAGAAAUGUUUUGUAUUUUGAUAUAAAUAAAAAUUUGCUUAA
This 4859-nucleotide long non-coding RNA is filed under the name Mus musculus (house mouse). Its description in RNAcentral is "long non-coding RNA chr9:27352684-27357543". The record is from RNAcentral. Lineage: Eukaryota; Metazoa; Chordata; Mammalia; Rodentia; Muridae.